AAAGUCCCUGUCGGGUAAGGGAUAGCCACCCACCCGUAUCGAGUCUUGCGUCCAAUGCGGAGCGUGUAAACGCGAACAAGAAGAUUGGAUGAGGCGUAGACAGAGAAUUCUGCAGGCCGCAGGGGUGGUCACGCACCCUGAAGAGCUGGUACAGCUUCGAGAUGACCUAACAAGCGGAUGCCGAGGGGUUUAAGGUUUACCGAAGGCAAUACAAGAACAUCCGAAAUGGCGAGGAUGCGAAGAUCCGCCGGAG
Candidatus Brocadia fulgida is the source of this 253-nucleotide non-coding RNA. The record is from Rfam. Lineage: Bacteria; Pseudomonadati; Planctomycetota; Candidatus Brocadiia; Candidatus Brocadiales; Candidatus Brocadiaceae.